GACGAACGCUGGCGGCGUGCUUAACACAUGCAAGUCGAACGGAAAGGCCCUGCUUUUGUGGGGUGCUCGAGUGGCGAACGGGUGAGUAACACGUGAGUAACCUGCCCUUGACUUUGGGAUAACUUCAGGAAACUGGGGCUAAUACCGGAUAGGAGCUCCUGCUGCAUGGUGGGGGUUGGAAAGUUUCGGCGGUUGGGGCUGGACUCGCGGCUUAUCAGCUUGUUGGUGGGGUAGUGGCUUACCAAGGUUUCGACGGGUAGCCGGCCUGAGAGGGUGACCGGCCACAAUGGGACUGAGAUACGGCCCAGACUCCUACGGGAGGCAGCAGUGGGGAAUAUUGCACAAUGGGCGGAAGCCUGAUGCAGCAACGCCGCGUGCGGGAUGACGGCCUUCGGGUUGUAAACCGCUUUCGCCUGUGACGAAGCGUGAGUGACGGUAAUGGGUAAAGAAGCACCGGCUAACUACGUG
This 468-nucleotide ribosomal RNA is filed under the name uncultured bacterium. RNAcentral describes it as "partial 16S ribosomal RNA". It matches the Rfam family "Bacterial small subunit ribosomal RNA", at positions 28 to 507 of the family's 1533-position model. The record is from RNAcentral.